RNAcentral lists this ribosomal RNA (398 nucleotides) under uncultured bacterium. RNAcentral describes it as "partial 16S ribosomal RNA". It matches the Rfam family "Bacterial small subunit ribosomal RNA", at positions 523 to 918 of the family's 1533-position model. The record is from RNAcentral.
AUACGUAGGGUGCGAGCGUUGUCCGGAAUUACUGGGCGUAAAGAGCUCGUAGGUGGUUUGUCGCGUCGUCUGUGAAAUUCCGGGGCUUAACUCCGGGCGUGCAGGCGAUACGGGCAUAACUUGAGUACUGUAGGGGAGACUGGAAUUCCUGGUGUAGCGGUGAAAUGCGCAGAUAUCAAGAGGAACACCGGUGGCGAAGGCGGGUCCCUGGGCAGUAACUGACUCUGAGGAGCGAAAGAGUGGGUAGCGAACAGGAUUAGAUACCCUGGUAGUCCAUGCCGUAAACGGUGGGCGCUAGGUGUAGGGGUCUUCCACGACUUCUGUGCCGUAGCUAACGCAUUAAGCGCCCCGCCUGGGGAGUACGGCCGCAAGGCUAAAACUCAAAUGAAUGGACGGGG